This 301-nucleotide ribosomal RNA is filed under the name uncultured bacterium. RNAcentral describes it as "partial 16S ribosomal RNA". It matches the Rfam family "Bacterial small subunit ribosomal RNA", at positions 509 to 807 of the family's 1533-position model. The record is from RNAcentral.
CAGCCGCCGCGGUAAUACAGAGGGUGCGAGCGUUAAUCGGAUUUACUGGGCGUAAAGCGUGCGUAGGCUGCUUCUUAAGUCGGAUGUGAAAUCCCUGAGCUUAACUUAGGAAUUGCAUUCGAUACUGGGAAGCUAGAGUAUGGGAGAGGAUGGUAGAAUUCCAGGUGUAGCGGUGAAAUGCGUAGAGAUCUGGAGGAAUACCGAUGGCGAAGGCAGCCAUCUGGCCUAAUACUGACGCUGAGGUACGAAAGCAUGGGGAGCAAACAGGAUUAGAGACCCCCGUAGUCCCUGUCUCUUAUAC